RNAcentral lists this ribosomal RNA (190 nucleotides) under Bacillus subtilis. Its description in RNAcentral is "partial 16S ribosomal RNA". It matches the Rfam family "Bacterial small subunit ribosomal RNA", at positions 61 to 241 of the family's 1533-position model. Lineage: Bacteria; Bacillati; Bacillota; Bacilli; Caryophanales; Bacillaceae. The record is from RNAcentral.
GUCGAGCGGACAGAUGGGAGCUUGCUCCCUGAUGUUAGCGGCGGACGGGUGAGUAACACGUGGGUAACCUGCCUGUAAGACUGGGAUAACUCCGGGAAACCGGGGCUAAUACCGGAUGGUUGUUUGAACCGCAUGGUUCAAACAUAAAAGGUGGCUUCGGCUACCACUUACAGAUGGACCCGCGGCGCAU